This 497-nucleotide ribosomal RNA is filed under the name Glyphis cicatricosa. RNAcentral describes it as "eukaryotic LSU rRNA". It matches the Rfam family "Eukaryotic large subunit ribosomal RNA", at positions 143 to 656 of the family's 3401-position model. Lineage: Eukaryota; Fungi; Ascomycota; Lecanoromycetes; Ostropales; Graphidaceae. The record is from RNAcentral.
UUGUAAUUUGGAGAAGGUGCUUCGGGUGCGACGGCGUUCCAAGUCCCCUGGAACAGGGCGUCACAGAGGGUGAGAGUCCCGUCCGGAUCGUCUGUCAACCCCGUGUGAAGCCCUUUCGACGAGUCGAGUUGUUUGGGAAUGCAGCUCAAAAUGGGUGGUAAAUUUCAUCUAAAGCUAAAUAUCUGCCGGAGACCGAUAGCGCACAAGUAGAGUGAUCGAAAGAUGAAAAGCACUUUGAAAAGAGAGUUAAACAGUACGUGAAAUUGUUGAAAGGGAAGGGCUUGCAGCCAGACUCGCACGCGGGGGCUCCGCCGCUCUUCGGGGCGGUUCACUCCCCCGCGAUCGGGCCAGCAUCGGUUUCGGCGGCCGGACAAAGGCCCUGGGAACGUAGCUCUCCUCGGAGAGUGUUACAGCCCGGGGUGCAAUGCGGCCAGCCGGGACCGAGGACCGCGCUUCGGCUUGGAUGCUGGCGUAAUGGCUGCCAGCCGCCCGUCUUG